RNAcentral lists this ribosomal RNA (253 nucleotides) under uncultured bacterium. RNAcentral describes it as "partial 16S ribosomal RNA". It matches the Rfam family "Bacterial small subunit ribosomal RNA", at positions 524 to 776 of the family's 1533-position model. The record is from RNAcentral.
UACAGAGGGGGCAAGCGUUGUUCGGAAUUACUGGGCGUAAAGGGCUCGUAGGCGGCCAACUAAGUUGGACGUGAAAUCCCUCAGCUUAACUGGGGAACUGCGUCCGAUACUGGAUGGCUUGGAUUUGGGAGAGGGAUGCGGAAUUCCAGGUGUAGCGGUGAAAUGCGUAGAUAUCUGGAGGAACACCGGUGGCGAAGGCGGCAUCCUGGACCAAUAUUGACGCUGAGGAGCGAAAGCCAGGGGAGCAAACGGG